CUGGCCCGGGAGCUUGGCAUUGCCGAAAGCAGAGUUCAGGUCUGGUUCCAAAACCAACGCAGAAGACGGUCAAAGCAGAGCCGAUCGCCGCCGUCUGAAUAUGUGCACCGAGAAGGGGAAGCGGGGCCAACGUCCACGCCCACGCCACCGUCGCGCCCGCCUCGACCUCAGUCUUCCUCUCCAGGAGACUCGGCCCGAGAGGCCCGGAGAAAGAGGACCGUCAUCUCUCCUUCCCAAACAAGCAUCCUUGUGCAAGCCUUCACGAGGGAUCGCUUCCCGGGGAUUGCCGCCAGGGAAGAACUGGCUCGUCAGACGGGAAUCCCAGAACCUCGA
Long non-coding RNA from Capra hircus (goat), 333 nucleotides. RefSeq lists it as uncharacterized. NCBI's taxonomy places the organism in Eukaryota, Metazoa, Chordata, Mammalia, Artiodactyla, Bovidae. The record is from RefSeq and is a predicted model, not a curated record. The transcript is spliced from 3 exons.